This 302-nucleotide long non-coding RNA is filed under the name Physcomitrium patens. RNAcentral describes it as "long non-coding RNA (PPAT_LNC013251)". The record is from RNAcentral. Lineage: Eukaryota; Viridiplantae; Streptophyta; Bryopsida; Funariales; Funariaceae.
UCUAAAAAAAGCUUAGGAUGGUUAUCUAGAUGGAGCCUACCAUAAAAUCUUCUAAAAAAGAAUUUAAGGCGGUUGUCUAAGUAGAGUCCAUUACCUAAAAAUAUUCUAGAAGAUCCAAGGUCGUAGGAUAAGGUAUAAAUAGGAUUGGCUAGGGCCUUUUGGAGCAUUUGCUUAAAUAUGGUUUUGGACCCUUUUUCUUAAUAAAGUUUGAUUUUGCAUCUUUCUGUUCAGAUCUGUUUUAUUCUAUUUUUGUUUGCUCAAUUUUGUCUUUCAUGUCUUAUUUUUUUUAAUUCCAUUUAAUU